Molecule: ribosomal RNA, 496 nt
Filed under: uncultured bacterium
Lineage: Bacteria
Description: partial 16S ribosomal RNA
Rfam family: Bacterial small subunit ribosomal RNA
Source: RNAcentral
GACGAACGCUGGCGGCGUGCCCAAUACAUGCAAGUUGAGCGCUGAAGGUUGGUACUUGUACCAACUGGAUGAGCAGCGAACGGGUGAGUAACGCGUGGGGAAUCUGCCUUUGAGCGGGGGACAACAUUUGGAAACGAAUGCUAAUACCGCAUAAAAACUUUAAACACAAGUUUUAAGUUUGAAAGAUGCAAUUGCAUCACUCAAAGAUGAUCCCGCGUUGUAUUAGCUAGUUGGUGAGGUAAAGGCUCACCAAGGCGAUGAUACAUAGCCGACCUGAGAGGGUGAACGGCCACAUUGGGACUGAGAAACGGCCCAAACUCCUACGGGGGGCAGCAGUAGGGAAUUUUCGGAAAUGGAGGAAAGGCGGACCGGGCAACGCCGGGGGAGGGAAGAAGGUGUUCGGAUCGUAAAACUCUGUUGGUAGAGAAGAACGUGGGGGAGGGUGAAAAGCCCAUCAAGUGACGGUAACUACCCAAAAAGGAACGGCUAACUACGU